CCUAAAUGUUUUUCAUUUGGGAUGGUGCUUUUCAGCCUUUGGUUGGUCACAGAUCAGAGCUGCAGCCUAUAAAGGUGGGGAGUGAAGGCAGGCUGAGGGCUUACUUUGUGCUGGGACUUUCUGAACAGUAGGUAAAGAGCUGUUUUUUUCUUAUAUCAGGAAGAGAGCCCUGCCUUUGAAGGCUUUCCGAAGUGUCAAGCACUUUCUUUUGUCUGGACAUCUAAACAAAGUGUUGUCACCAGCAAAUACUGAUAUGGCUGUUUAGCCCUUUUCCAAACAAUCUCUCUUAUUAAUUGCAGCUUCAGAAAUAGCUCAGCAAUAUUUCAUUAUGAGUUUCAAAUUUAGGAAAACAGCAGCUAUGCUUCUAAGAGAUCUCCUGGAGGGAUGCCAUCAGUCAGUUUAAGAGCUGUCCUCUCUGAGACAAGGAGCUACCCUGGUGUUUCUGACAUCUCUUGCAGGUGUGUGUCUGACCAAAGCUCUCCCUUGGCUCCUGUCAGUUUCACUCGCUCUAGAUCUAAGUAAUGCCCUGGAACAUGUAAACACUCUGUGCCAGCAAUCUAGUUGCACUUUGGUUUAAGGUGAAGACUGUUUUUCUGUCUAGGCUCUCCUCAUGUACCUCGCUUAAUGUCUAACAGACUUAAACCUUCUCCUGUACACCAUCUGCCCACAUGCCCACUGGUUCUUUGCAGGAUACCUGGUGUAACUUAU
Long non-coding RNA from Pezoporus occidentalis (night parrot), 708 nucleotides. RefSeq lists it as uncharacterized. The transcript has 4 exons. The record is from RefSeq and is a predicted model, not a curated record. NCBI's taxonomy places the organism in Eukaryota, Metazoa, Chordata, Aves, Psittaciformes, Psittacidae.